UUAGCUCUUCCUCAGCGGGUUGUUAUUCCCAAUAACCCGUAAUGAAUACACCUCAUGUGUUCCUCAGCUAGUCAUCCUUGAUAUGUUUACCCUAACCGGUAACAGAUGUCCUGUCUAUCAGAUUAUAUUAUCUUCCUACCCAGUAGAAGGUAAUAGAUGAUAUAUUUAUAUCACUCCUGUGUUGAAGAUUAUCUCUUCCCCAAUUGAGUUUGAGUGCAUAUUUCCUCAGUGAAAUCGCCUUUUCCUGCUUGGUCCGAGUAUUUCAGCUU
Molecule: long non-coding RNA, 269 nt
Filed under: Lathyrus oleraceus (garden pea)
Lineage: Eukaryota; Viridiplantae; Streptophyta; Magnoliopsida; Fabales; Fabaceae
Description: Pisum sativum (pea) long non-coding RNA (PSAT_LNC025107)
Source: RNAcentral